CAAAAUUUCUUCUGUUUCCUAUCCCGAAUCCGUCUCGGAUAGUAAAAUUUACCCUGUUUCCUGCCCUGAAUUCGUUUAUUUUCUCCCAUUUACUGCUCCCGUCGGGUCGGAUCGGGGCGGGAGCUCUACCAACCCGGAUCCGUUUGCAUCCCUAACCUUUAUAGUGCUUUUGAGAGUAUUCUAGCUCAACUAUAUAUAUAUAUAUAUAGUCCGGCUAUGAUGCUUGUAAAAGUACCAAGUAUUUGGUGCUUGUAAAUUUUUUACUUUUAGAUCUACGCCUUUGAUCAUUUUCACCUGUUAAAUUAUACUAUUCAACCAACCACCCACUCAACCUUAGGGGGCCCACAUCAUCCUAACCGCACAUCCCUUAAUCCAAGGGUUAAAAACUUACAAGCACCAAUGACUUGAUACUUUUAAAAGCAUAGGAGCUCAAUUCUAUAUAUAUAUAUAUAUUAUUAUAUAUAUAUAUAUAUAUAUAUAUAUAUAUUUAUUUAUUUAUUUAUUUAUAGAAAAUUCUUUUUACUAUUUAGAGUAAGAUCAGUAUCUCUGAUCUUAAAUUCAAGUCUUUUAUCAUCAUUUUUUAUGAGAUUUUUAUUUUCAGCCGUUUAUUUUUAAACUACUCGUUUGAUAGAUAAAUGAUGUUGAAAAAUGAUGAAAUUUAGCUUUCAAAUAUUUUUAAUAGUGUAGAUCAAGUCUAACGGAGCUGGUCGUCGAUUUGUAAGCUACAUCAUUGAAAACAACUUGGUAGCACGGAGGCCUCCGUGCUAUUGAUAGUAUACCAGCCUAACUCUCUCUCUCUCUCUCUAUAUAUAUAUAGAGAGAGAGAGAAUUAUAUAUAUAGUAGCCUAACUCUCUCUCUCUCUCUCCCUCUCUCUUUUUUCUCUCUCUCUCUUUACAUAUUUAGUCGGGCUUGUGUACUUUGAGAAGCAUGGUGGCCUUCGUUCUGUCAAGUCGUUUUCGAUGCUAAGAAUUCUAAAUCAAUGAUUGGCUCUAUUAGAUUUGAUUUAUUAAAAUAUUGAAAAUAGCUAGAAAAUAAAUUUGUAAUUUUUUGAUAUCAUUUACUUAAUAAUCAAAAAGUCUUAAAAUUAAUGGCUGAAAAUAAACAUCUAACAGAAAGUGAUAUAUGAAACUAAAAUUUAGAUCAAUUAUAUUGAUCUUGUUUUAUAUAGUAUAAAAAGUUUUCUAUGAAAAUUUUGCAUAAUUUAAAUAUUUUUAUAUCGUUAAACUUGCAAGCGGCUCAUCACGACCGUUGGAAUUUUUGAUUUUUGAUCUCUUCGAUCAUUAGGCAAAU
RNAcentral lists this long non-coding RNA (1291 nucleotides) under Ananas comosus (pineapple). RNAcentral describes it as "long non-coding RNA (ACOM_LNC036222)". The record is from RNAcentral. Lineage: Eukaryota; Viridiplantae; Streptophyta; Magnoliopsida; Poales; Bromeliaceae.